This 929-nucleotide long non-coding RNA is filed under the name Parus major (Great Tit). RNAcentral describes it as "lncRNA (ENSPMJG00000010404.1)". The record is from RNAcentral. Lineage: Eukaryota; Metazoa; Chordata; Aves; Passeriformes; Paridae.
AUGUUUCACCCAUCUGUUUCAGCUGUGGCAAUAAACACCACUGGCAGAACCAGUGGAAGAGCAGCCCUUUGCUCCCUUCCCAGAAAACAAAACUGGAAACUGGAGCAGAGCACAUGGGAAGGGUCAGCUGGAGCAUCCUGGGAAUGGAAGGGAAGGGCCAUGCAGCCAGGCUCCCAUCCCAGCCACCUCCCAGCCUGCAGCAUCCCUCCCCAGCCCUGCCUGGGGGGAAUCCCAAGACUGCCACAGCUUCCUGCUCACUUCCUCCACUUUGGGGAGAAAUUGUAGCUAAGGCUGAUCAGCUGUGAGCUGCCACAGGCAGACCCAGGUCCCUCGGGCUGAGUUCCAGCUGCUGCUGGGAGCAGUCUGUGGUCCCAGCUGGGCUGCACUGGACAUCAGCUGGAAUGCCAGGAGGAGCUCAGUCCUCUCAGAGAGAAGGCCUGGAGCAUUAUCUUCUGCUAAUGCAGGUGAGGCUUAUUAAUAUUAUUUAUAUUAAUAGCUUUUCAUGGAAAUGAGGAAGUUUUCUCCAGAGAACAGGGGGAUGCCUUCAAAUGAUGGCUUGUUAGAGCGAGAGGGAUCCAAGGGAAAGCUGAUGUUCCUAUCAUAGAAUCAUAGCAUCCUUUGGGCUGCAGGGACCUUAAAAUCCUUUAAAGGGGUCUUGAAGAUCAUCUCAUUUCACUCCCUGCUGUGGCAGGGACAUCUUCCACUGUCUCAGGCUGCUCCAAGCCCUGUCCAACCUGGCCUUGGGCACUUCCAGGGAUCCAGGGGCAGCCUCAGCUUCUCUGGGCACCCUGUGCCAGGGCCUGCCCACCCUCCCAGGGAAGGGUGGGGAGAAGGAUCACUCUGAGUGGUCUCAGAGGAAGCCAGGGCAGAUAUGUAAUACCCCUUCACCCUCCCCCAAAGGCUAAAUAAAAAAUAAUUUUUAAAAAACA